GCAGGAAUUAGCUUGAAAAGCAAUGGUGUGGUCACCUGUAGAAUUGAUUUGGAGUGAGGCCCAGCAUAUCAGCAUAGAAACAAAAAUGAAAGAUAAAGUAGAACCAUUACAUUUUAUCACUUGAUCCUUUCCCUAAAAGAUUCUCCCAAUUGUCCUACAUUUUUUUUUUGUAAGGGAAGUGAGGCCCAACGUAUCAGCAUAGAAACAAAAAUGAAAGAUAAAGUAGAACCAUUAAAUUUUAUCACUUGAGCCUUUCCCUAAAAGAUUCUCCCAAUUGUCCUAUCUAAUAACUCAUAAGUCAUCUUCAUCGCCAAAUUAUUAGUUUAGUUGUCAAAGACAUAUUGAAGCGGUACUUAUUCAAGGUUUGGCUGAUAACUCUAGCCUACGCAUUGCAAAUAUAGUUUCCAACAAACUUCCCACCUUGCUAUUGGGAAGACUCGAGCUCAC
Molecule: long non-coding RNA, 447 nt
Filed under: Nicotiana benthamiana
Lineage: Eukaryota; Viridiplantae; Streptophyta; Magnoliopsida; Solanales; Solanaceae
Description: long non-coding RNA (NBEN_LNC041495)
Source: RNAcentral